GACGAACGCUGGCGGCGUGCUUAACACAUGCAAGUCGAACGAUGAAGCGGGUGCUUGCACUCGUGGAUUAGUGGCGAACGGGCGAGUAACACGUGAGUAACCUGUCCUUUUCUUUGGGAUAACGGCUGGAAACGGCUGCUAAUACUGGAUAUUCAGGCUGCAUCGCAUGGUGUGGUUUGGAAAGGUUUUUUCUGGGAUUGGGUGGGCUCGCGGCCUAUCAGCUUGUUGGUGGGGUGAUGGCUUACCAAGGCUUUGACGGGUAGCCGGCCUGAGAGGGUGGUCGGUCGCACUGGGACUGAGAUACGGCCCAGACUCCUACGGGAGGCAGCAGUGGGGAAUAUGGCACAAUGGACGAAAGUGUGAUGCAGCGACGCCGCGUGGAGGGUGUAGGCCUUCGGGUUGUGAACUCCUUUUUCUCGCGAAAAAGGCACAGUUUUGGCUGUGUUGAUGGUAGUGGGGGAAGAAGCGCCGGCUAACUACGUG
Molecule: ribosomal RNA, 483 nt
Filed under: uncultured bacterium
Lineage: Bacteria
Description: partial 16S ribosomal RNA
Rfam family: Bacterial small subunit ribosomal RNA
Source: RNAcentral